Molecule: ribosomal RNA, 484 nt
Filed under: uncultured bacterium
Lineage: Bacteria
Description: partial 16S ribosomal RNA
Rfam family: Bacterial small subunit ribosomal RNA
Source: RNAcentral
AUUGAACGCUGGCGGCAUGCUUUACACAUGCCAGUCGAACGGCAGCGCGUGCUUCGGCCUGGCGGCGAGUGGCGAACGGGUGAGUAAUGCAUCGGAACGUGCCCAGUAGUGGUGGAUAGCCCGGCGAAAGCCGGAUUAAUACCGCAUACGACCUGAGGGUGAAAGCGGGGGACCGAAAGGCCUCGCGCUAUUGGAGCGGCCGAUGUCGGAUUAGCUAGUUGGUGGGGUAAAGGCUUACCAAGGCGACGAUCCGUAGCUGGUCUGAGAGGACGACCAGCCACACUGGGACUGAGACACGGCCCAGACUCCUACGGGAGGCAGCAGUGGGGAAUGUUGGACAAUGGGGGCAACACUGAUCCAGCCAUGCCGCGUGCGGGAAGAAGGCCUUCGGGUUGUAAAACGCUUUUGUGCGGGAAGAAAUCCUCUGGGCUAAUACCCCGGGGGGAUGACGGUACCGGAAGAAUAAGCACCGGCUAACUACGUG